GGUGUUGUAGCUUAGUGGUAGAGCACUUGCCUUGUAUGUGUGAGGCACGGGGUUCGAUCCAGCACCA
Molecule: transfer RNA, 67 nt
Filed under: Ictidomys tridecemlineatus (thirteen-lined ground squirrel)
Lineage: Eukaryota; Metazoa; Chordata; Mammalia; Rodentia; Sciuridae
Description: Spermophilus tridecemlineatus (thirteen-lined ground squirrel) tRNA
Rfam family: tRNA
About the family: Transfer RNA (tRNA) molecules are approximately 80 nucleotides in length. Their secondary structure includes four short double-helical elements and three loops (D, anti-codon, and T loops). Further hydrogen bonds mediate the characteristic L-shaped molecular structure. tRNAs have two regions of fundamental functional importance: the anti-codon, which is responsible for specific mRNA codon recognition, and the 3' end, to which the tRNAs corresponding amino acid is attached (by aminoacyl-tRNA synthetases). tRNAs cope with the degeneracy of the genetic code in two manners: having more than one tRNA (with a specific anti-codon) for a particular amino acid; and 'wobble' base-pairing, i.e. permitting non-standard base-pairing at the 3rd anti-codon position.
Source: Rfam by way of RNAcentral